GACGAACGCUGGCGGCGUGCUUAACACAUGCAAGUCGAACGGAAAGGCCCUGCUUUUGUGGGGUGCUCGAGUGGCGAACGGGUGAGUAACACGUGAGUAACCUGCCCUUGACUUUGGGAUAACUUCAGGAAACUGGGGCUAAUACCGGAUAGGAGCUCCUGCUGCAUGGUGGGGGUUGGAAAGUUUCGGAGGUUGGGGAUGGACUCGCGGCUUAUCAGCUUGUUGGUGGGGUAGUGGCUUACCAAGGCUUUGACGGGUAGCCGGCCUGAGAGGGUGACCGGCCACAUUGGGACUGAGAUACGGCCCAGACUCCUACGGGAGGCAGCAGUGGGGAAUAUUGCACAAUGGGCGGAAGCCUGAUGCAGCAACGCCGCGUGCGGGAUGUCGGCCUUCGGGUUGUAAACCGCUUUCGCCUGUGACGAAGCGUGAGUGACGGUAAUGGGUAAAGAAGCACCGGCUAACUACGUG
RNAcentral lists this ribosomal RNA (468 nucleotides) under uncultured bacterium. RNAcentral's name for it is "partial 16S ribosomal RNA". It matches the Rfam family "Bacterial small subunit ribosomal RNA", at positions 28 to 507 of the family's 1533-position model. The record is from RNAcentral.